RNAcentral lists this ribosomal RNA (405 nucleotides) under uncultured bacterium. Its description in RNAcentral is "bacterial SSU rRNA". It matches the Rfam family "Bacterial small subunit ribosomal RNA", at positions 355 to 776 of the family's 1533-position model. The record is from RNAcentral.
UGGGGGAUAUUGCACAAUGGGGGGAACCCUGAUGCAGCGACGCCGCGUGGGUGAAGAAGUAUUUCGGUAUGUAAAGCCCUAUCGGCAGGGAAGAAAUUGGACGGUACCUGACUAAGAAGCCCCGGCUAACUACGUGCCAGCAGCCGCGGUAAUACGUAGGGGGCAAGCGUUAUCCGGAUUCACUGGGUGUAAAGGGAGCGUAGACGGCCAUGCAAGCCUGGAGUGAAAGCCCGGGGCCCAACCCCGGGACUGCUCUGGGAACUGUGCGGCUGGAGUGCGGGAGGGGCAGGCGGAAUUCCUGGUGUAGCGGUGAAAUGCGUAGAUAUCAGGAGGAACACCGGCGGCGAAGGCGGCCUGCUGGACCGCGACUGACGUUGAGGCUCGAAAGCGUGGGGAGCAAACAGG